UAUGGAGGGUGCAAACGUUAAUCGGAAUUACUGGGCGUAAAGCGCACGUAGGCGGUAUGUUAAGCCAGCUGUGAAAUCCCCGGGCUCAACCUGGGAAUUGCAGUUGGAACUGGCAUGCUAGAGUGCAGUAGAGGGGUGUGGAAUUUCAGGUGUAGCGGUGAAAUGCGUAGAUAUCUGAAGGAACAUCAGUGGCGAAGGCGACACCCUGGACUGACACUGACGCUGAGGUGCGAAAGCGUGGGGAGCAAACAGG
This 253-nucleotide unclassified non-coding RNA is filed under the name uncultured Cellvibrionales bacterium. RNAcentral describes it as "contains 16S-23S intergenic spacer region". It matches the Rfam family "Bacterial small subunit ribosomal RNA", at positions 524 to 776 of the family's 1533-position model. Lineage: Bacteria; Pseudomonadati; Pseudomonadota; Gammaproteobacteria; Cellvibrionales. The record is from RNAcentral.